Molecule: long non-coding RNA, 119 nt
Organism: Sapajus apella (tufted capuchin)
Lineage: Eukaryota; Metazoa; Chordata; Mammalia; Primates; Cebidae
Exons: 3
Source: RefSeq, a predicted model, not a curated record
CAUUUUCGGGGAAGGCGCUUUGUGAAAUAGGCUCUAUUUCUCUUGUCCUUUCGUACUGGGAGAAAUAUUUAAUACAUAGAAACCGACCUGGAUUUCUCCGGUCUGAACUCAGACCAAGU